This 318-nucleotide ribosomal RNA is filed under the name uncultured bacterium. Its description in RNAcentral is "bacterial SSU rRNA". It matches the Rfam family "Bacterial small subunit ribosomal RNA", at positions 132 to 448 of the family's 1533-position model. The record is from RNAcentral.
UUCAGAGGGGGACAACAGUUGGAAACGACUGCUAAUACCGCAUAAGACCACGGUGUGGCAUCACACAGAGGUCAAAGGAGAAAUCCGCUGAAGGAUGGGCUCGCGUCCAAUUAGCUAGAUGGUGAGGUAACGGCCCACCAUGGCGACGAUUGGUAGCCGGACUGAGAGGUUGAUCGGCCACAUUGGGACUGAGACACGGCCCAGACUCCUACGGGAGGCAGCAGUGGGGAAUAUUGCACAAUGGAGGAAACUCUGAUGCAGCGACGCCGCGUGAGGGAAGAAGGUCUUCGGAUUGUAAACCUCUGUUGUCAGGGACGA